Long non-coding RNA from Lotus japonicus, 4444 nucleotides. RefSeq lists it as uncharacterized. The transcript is spliced from 3 exons. The record is from RefSeq and is a predicted model, not a curated record. NCBI's taxonomy places the organism in Eukaryota, Viridiplantae, Streptophyta, Magnoliopsida, Fabales, Fabaceae.
CACGUGAGAUCUAGGUCCAGAACAUUGGCGCCAUCUGUGGCUCACCAUAGCCAUGAAAAAUCUUCGUGUUCUUGCUGAGUCGAGAAGUCACGUCAAUGAACUAUUGAAUCAAAAGGAAGAAGUAGCAGCAGCUGAAGUAGAUGAAGUUGUAGGCAUCUUUAAUGCUUGCCGUCUUCAUCACGAUGGCUUUGCGAACACCACCAGCGUCAUCAACUGCCUCGUGGAUGGCAACCUUUGAACGUAUAACAACGUCGUCUCCUCCAGACACUUCACCGCGAUUGUCAAUUGGCUGAAAGGGAGUGAAGAUCGGUGACAAGGCCACCAGAUGCUCGAGUUCUCUAAUCCUCGAACAUCGUUGUGGGUGACAUCCUCUCAGUCGAUCUGAAACAGCGGCGGGCAGCACUCUCUCGUAACCAAGCCCCUUUUUCGUCACAAUUCUAAAUUGCUUCAGAAACAGGGAUGCACAGCCGUGAAGCUCAACGCCUAGGGCGAGCUAAACACGAUUCAGACCCGCCCAAAUAACAAACAUAUUUCAACACACUCGAUCUUUUCUCCUGCUUUUUCUUUGGUUUUCUUUCCAUUUGAUAUUUCCUUUGAUUAUCUUCAUUCUGAAAUCAUUUUCUUCACUUUGUUGAUACGAAACAGAGAGGAACAUGGUGGACCAAGAAGAAGGUAUGGAUCAAUUAGGGGAUUUUUUCAAACGGUUUAGGUCCAGGUCGAGAGAGGAGUAUGGCAGAUGAGGGACAAUGAGCCUAUGAGUUGGAGCACACCAACUGUUCGAUGAAAUGCUUCAGCAAAACUUUGCAUCUUCGAAUGCCAUAAUGUGUCUGUCUAUUCCGUCAUCAUAAAUCAGGGCAGUAAAACCCCAUUCUACUAGCUUGUUCUUUUCAUUCCGCUUCGAAUUCGUGGUUCUCUGUUCAUGUCUAUCCCUGCCAUAUAUCUGAUGCAAUGACUGAGUAGAUUUCCUUUGAUAAUAUUGUUAUAAGUUUCAUGUGUGACAAAUGUUUGACGAAAUGCUCGACUGAAAUUUUCUGAGUGUUUUACUUCUGGUGAUGAUUCCCUUGAUCCUAAAGUGUUUUAAACCUCUAGUUUGUUGGGAAUUGAAAUGUGCUUGAGUUCUAUGAUGAGUGUUUAAAGUUUGUAGUGUUAGUAGGAUUUUCGUGAUGAAGAAUUGUUCCUAACCUCUUGUUAGAAAAUGGGCUUGUCAGGGAUACACUUAUAUUUGUGCCUUUUGUAACCAAUUGCUUAUGAUUAUGACUUGCAAUGCAUAUGACAAGGUAAAUUAUACCUAAUCUUAUACAUGUAAUAGUUUGGAACUUGGCUUGAACCACCUCUCUAAAGAAUAAGUGUUGGGAUGCUGAUUCACAAGAUAUGUGCACAAGUUGAAGAGUGCUUUGCUGUCCUUUUACGUCAGCUAGUUAACCUUCUGAACAUGCUCAGCUGAAAUUUUCGUUGCCAUUAGUACUUUACUUGGGUGUUCUAUUUGGGUGAAGAUUCUCUUGAUUUUGAAGUGUUUUAAACCUCUAGUUUGACGGGAAUUUAAUGAACUAGCACAUUGACAGCUUAUAUCAAUUUUCAAACCUGUUUUAUCUUUUUAAUUUUGCACUUCCCACUUAGCAUGCCAUGAUUCUGAACUUAUAUGUUUGUCAGCCAUUCUCAGUUGCAUGAAGUUGUAUAAAAUGUGUUGAUUUUUAUGUUUGAACUGAUUAGGCUUGAUUAGAUUCCGAAAUGGUGCAUUAUGUUUUCUUUAUGGAUCAGGUACGAUAAAUGAUCCAUAACCAGUUUGCUUCUUAAUCAGAUCACUGUCUCUGUCUCUGCACAAUCUGCAUGUUGCUUGCCUGCUUUACACCAGUUUUUGCAGGAGAUAUUAUUCUGUGUUUCAUUGUCUUGGGCUGAUGCUGUUUUCAAAUGUUUCAAUAACAAAUGACAAACAAGUUAUGGUGGUGCCCUCUGGUUUAAUUUCAUGGAUUGUGGCAGAUUCCUAAUAUGUUUUCCUGGUUUAAUUAAUGAGUUUUAUAUCAGCUUUUCUAGUUGCACAAGGAAAAAUUAGAGAACUUUGGGACCUGUUAUUUUAAAACUGCAUAUGCUAUGCCUUCUGUUCUGACCUUUUUCUUUCUUGAACCAAACAUAAAAAUCAGGUUCAGGUAGGUUGUUAUUUGUAAUCCUACUGCAUGAAUAUCCACAACAAUACAUUAGUUUUAUCCUUUGGUAUUACUAAUACCAAAUAAUAUGUGAUUACUUUAUUUGUAUACUAAAACUUCCUUUUCAAAUUGUUCUCUUAUUUUGAUGUGGAAUUGCUUAUGUGAAUUUCAAUCCCUAUCACAUGAUGUUUAUCAAAAUAGCCACUGUUAUUUGAAUCCGGAAUCCUUUUGUCAUUCUGUUUUUGGCUUGUGCUCUCAUGUACACGCCAUGCUUGAAAAGAGUUCAAUUAGUUGCUGUAUAGUUUGCUUAUAUGAUGAAAUAAAGAAUAUCAUGCUCUUAUUAAAGAAAGUAAAAGGGAAUUCCCUUGCUUUUGAUACUUCCCUCUCUUAUUUUCAAUCCUGUCAAACGGUCACCCUGUGGUUAUAUUGGUGAAGAGUUGUUAGAUUGAUGGAGUCGCUUGAGUUUUGAAGUUUUCUGUUUAAGAACACAUAAAGUAGUUGAACACUUAAAAGGAACGUACCUUAGGCUAUGUUUGAUUUGUAUACUAAAGAGAACAAAGUAACCUGUCUUGUCCUGUUCUUAUUUUUAUUCUCCCCUUUUAUAUGGAGUUAAAAUGUACUGCUUUUCACACUGUUUGGGCUGAUAUCUUUUGCAUUUUCAGCAUACACCAACAUGGUACAUAAUCCACAUAUUUGAUUUUGUCUUAUGCCCUUACCUUUCAUCUUAAUCUUUGAUAUGAAUCAAUAUUGUAUUUGUAGCAAUUUGCUAGUUCCUUCAUAUUUUUGUUGAACUCUAUAGGAGUCUAUCCCGUUGAGCUGUCAAAUAAAUACAUGAACCGAUACAUGAUCAGAUAUUAAGAUACUUUUCCAACAUUAAAAUUUUCAUUCUCCUCUUUCUAACAUGCUGGUUAUAUACUUCAAUUGUGACCACAUGCUUGUUCAUAGCUAGACAUGAAUAUAUCCUCAUAGGGCUGGACCCUUUUCUUUCAAGAAAGAAAUUUUCUUUAAGUAGCUUUCUGAAACCUAUUAUGGAUAUUGCACUGCCUACUUAACUAAGUUAAUUCACUACGCCAUUUAUUUCUUGGUUUUACUCAUGUUAUCAGCCUUGGCCUUCACAUACCAUGCUAUUGCAUCUAUGUGCUUGAAUGAGUAUUGUUCUGAAGAAUAGGGUUUCUUUAAGUAUUUGGUUUCUCCUUAUUUUUCCUUGAGGUAAAUUUUCAGGGAUUAAUGCACAUAGUAAAGAAGGAGAUGGUGAUAGUAAAGGCAAAGAAUUACCAGUUGUGCUUAUGUGGAACUACGAAUGAGAAGUCUAAAGAAAGACAAUAUCAAAAAGCAGAUCACAUAAAAACAGAAACUGAGGCUACAAGCCAGGAGAAACUCAAAAUAAUGCUAUACGCUUCAACGUUCUAUGACUUCAAAAAGGAAAGAGAUAUCAGAUAGAAGAAGAGUCUUGUUUUUUACAAAACAGUUCUGCAAAGAUCACAUGAAGACAAGUUUGCUUCAGCAAAAGGCGCGUUGACCAAUAAGGAAAAGUACAAGCCGUCAACAUCAAAUUGCCAAAUUGUCUCAUGUCUGAAAAGUAGCCCAAAGUCUAUCACCACCUACUAGCUGACAAAUAUUAUCUUUUUAGCUUAAGGAUAGACUUGCUUCUGAAGCAACAUUUAAUGAAGCUACCAACCAAGCCUUUUGAAUCAACGACUCGAUCUCAUUUUACAACGGCUAUCUCAACGGUUAGAUAUUGUCUCACAACGGCUACAACACUAGCAAGCAAGUAUUUAAGACACUCUUGAAGAUCUGAAGACGAGAGAAUCAAUUUCAAAGAAAAACAAGCAUUCAACAUUCAUUCAAAACUUCUCAACAACAUUCAAAGCUCAAGCAGAAAUUCCUAAGUGUCAAACACAAGCCAUUAAAUUCUGCAAGUGAAAGAGAAAACCUCGUACCUUAAAAGAGUCAUAUCUCUUUAUUAUCUUUACACUUUUGUUAGAACUCAUUAGUGAUCCAAAGUCAAAUCUGAACCCAAAACACUUUGAGUUCCAGUGCCAUAAAUUCUCUAGCACUACUCUUGAAAGAAGAGAAAUCUUGUAGAGUGAUUCAAAUCUUUGUAAGAUUUUGGAGAAGUCCUGAACAAUACUUAUAGGAGUCCUGUAGAAUACUUGGAGAAGUCCUUGAUAAUACUUGGAGAAGUCCUGUCAAAUACUUGUAUUGGAGAAGUCAUUGAUACUUGCUAGUGAAAAUCUUGGUGGUGGCCAAGUACUGGACGUAGCCCAAUCAUUUAGGGUGAACCAGUAUAAAUCUCUGUGUGC